CUACAGUCAACUGAACUGACCAGGUUCUCCUCAUGGGGCCCUGUGUAUACCGGUUCCAAGCAACAGCCUCCUUGGGAGCAUGCAGCCUGUACCUUGUUUGUGUUGCCCUGAGGGGUCUUUGAAACAGAG
Phodopus roborovskii (desert hamster) is the source of this 129-nucleotide small nucleolar RNA. RefSeq annotates it as small nucleolar RNA SNORA70. The transcript has a single exon. NCBI's taxonomy places the organism in Eukaryota, Metazoa, Chordata, Mammalia, Rodentia, Cricetidae. The record is from RefSeq and is a predicted model, not a curated record.